Molecule: ribosomal RNA, 252 nt
Filed under: uncultured bacterium
Lineage: Bacteria
Description: partial 16S ribosomal RNA
Rfam family: Bacterial small subunit ribosomal RNA
Source: RNAcentral
GACGAACCGUGCGAACGUUGUUCGGAAUCACUGGGCUUAAAGGGCGCGUAGGCGGGCUCGCAAGUCUGUGGUGAAAUCCUCCAGCUUAACUGGAGAAUGGCCGUGGAUACUGCGGGUCUCGAGGGAGGUAGGGGCGUGCGGAACAGAUGGUGGAGCGGUGAAAUGCGUUGAUAUCAUCUGGAACUCCGGUGGCGAAGGCGGCACGCUGGACCUCAUCUGACGCUGAGGCGCGAAAGCCAGGGGAGCAAACGG